UCAGGCCGAAUAAGAACGGAGGGGGCGGCGGCUGGACGGCUCACUCGGUGCCACUGCCUGGGGGCUGUAGUGACCGCGCCGCUCCUACGGGGGGCUGCCCAAGCCAAGGACCAGCCUCUGUUGCCUUCUCCUCCACCUCCCAGCUUCCCCGGCCAGAACAUCCCCCCCACGAUGGCCGAGGACAGCAGCAGUACCAGGGAGUGCGUGUCCUUCAGCGUGCUCAACUGGGAUCAGGUCAGCCGGCUGCAUGAGGUCCUGACUGAGGUCGUGCCCAUCCACGGACGAGGCAACUUUCCGACCUUGGAGAUAACCCUCAAGGACAUCGUCCAGACCGUCCGCAGCCGGCUGGAGGAGGCAGGCAUCAAAGUGCAGGACGUCCGGCUGAACGGCUCUGCAGCUGGACACGUCUUGGUCAAGGACAACGGCUUGGGUUGCAAAGACCUGGACCUGAUCUUCCACGUGGCUCUCCCCACCGAGGCAGAAUUUCAGCUGGUCAGAGACGUGGUUCUGUGUUCCCUCCUGAACUUCCUGCCCGAGGGCGUGAACAAGCUCAAGAUCAGCCCCGUCACUCUCAAGGAGGCCUACGUGCAGAAGCUGGUGAAGGUCUGCACGGACACCGACCGCUGGAGCCUGAUUUCCCUCUCCAACAAGAACGGGAGGAACGUGGAGCUCAAGUUUGUCGACUCCAUCCGGCGCCAGUUUGAGUUCAGCGUGGACUCUUUCCAAAUCAUCCUGGAUUCUUUGCUUUUCUUCUACGAUUGCUCCAGUAACCCCAUCUCUGAGCACUUCCACCCCACCGUGAUCGGGGAGAGCGUGUACGGGGACUUUGAGGAAGCCUUCGACCAUCUGCAGAACAGACUGAUCGCCACCAAGAACCCAGAAGAGAUCCGAGGCGGGGGACUUCUGAAGUAUAGCAACCUUCUCGUGCGGGACUUCAGGCCCACGGACCAGGAGGAGAUCAAGACUCUGGAGCGUUACAUGUGCUCCAGGUUUUUCAUUGACUUCCCAGACAUCCUCGAACAGCAAAGGAAGUUGGAGACCUACCUUCAAAACCACUUCGCCGAAGAAGAGAGAAGCAAGUACGACUACCUCAUGAUCCUUCGCAGGGUGGUGAACGAGAGCACCGUGUGCCUCAUGGGCCACGAACGCAGGCAGACCCUGAACCUCAUCUCUCUCCUGGCCCUGCGAGUGCUGGCAGAACAGAACAUCAUCCCCAACGCCACCAACGUCACCUGUUACUACCAGCCAGCUCCUUACGUCAGCGAUGGCAACUUCAACAACUACUACAUCGCCCAUCCUCCAGUUACCUACAGCCAGCCUUACCCUACCUGGCUGCCCUGUAACUAACCUUGAGACCCGAGGGUUCCGGCCGUGGGAACCCUGUAGGGCAAGGGCUCUCAGGACUAAAUUGCAUAUGUCUAGUUCCUGUCAGCAGAGCUGAGAAUUUCUUUCAUCAAUAAACCAAAGCCAAUAGCUGGAGACUUGAGAUCUGGUUGGAAGUGGUUUAUGGUUUAGAUGCUGUGCUAUCUUGAGGAAUUAUGAAAUAUUGCUGAGAGAGGAAAAAAAAAAGAUGACCUUUUCUUGAAAUGUAACUUGAAAACAAAAUAAAAUGUGGAACAUAAUGUUAAAGUAGAAUUGUGGUGGUGGUGAGGGGGGUGGUGGAUUGUAAAUAGGAAAUGUGAAUGUCCUUUUUCUUUUUUCUUUUCUUUUCUUUAAGGAAUUCUCAUUGAAUGACACUUUUCGUCCUCAGCUCUCUCUCGUGGAUGACUUUUGUGUUGCUCCUCCUAAGGAUGGUCAGUGCUGUUUCUGGACGCGUUGUUGUGACUGAUGUUAAGGGUUUUCCCAUGUUUUAAUUGGAAACCCAUGUUUUUCUGGAGUACUUUGGCUAUUUUUUGUUGUUGUUGUUGUUGUUUGUUUGUUUUCUUUACUUUUGAAAAACAAAAAAAAAGUGAUUUUCUUCUCCAGGUCUUCUUUGACAGCUAAUGAAUUCAGGAAUUUCAGUAGAAUUGAGUGACCUGUGGAAGUGCUUAGAUUCUAACCUGUCCCUGUGCCACAUGAAGGUGGGGGUUUAGCAUUAAGUCUGGCCUUGUGUGCUUUCAAGGCAGUUUGAAAUCAUUCCAGUGUAUUCGAGGAAGCAUUGGGUGAGUGAAGAAUUAUCUUCCUUAUUCUGGUAGAUUUGACCAUACUUGUUUAUAUUCUGCACUUUAGAAGGAAAACAGUGUUAAACUCUAGUCUAAAGCAAGCUUAGUCAAUGGGAGAGAUCUAGCCUACGUAUUGCUUUCCAGAGUAGCUUUAGAUUGUAUGCUUUAAAUUUUUUUGUGUGUGUGUGGGGGGGGAUUUUUUUUUUUUAGAAAGCCUCACUUUAUGGUAUCAAGAGCAAAAGACAACUCAGUAUUGCCUACCAGCUUGAUUUCUCAAGUGAUUGAAUCAACCCUUUGCUCCUGAAUUAUAUUUUCUCCUGUGGCUGUAGCAAUGCAAUGCCCUAAAUGAUUGCUUUCUCCUUGCUUUAAGCAAUGAAGUUAUCUUAAUGCAGAAAUGCUUAGUAGAAAAACGAGUGGUUGACCUUUUUCCUAAAGAGGUGUCUUCAGGUUUCUUCUGGAAUGUGAUACCUUGGUUCUCUUAAGGAAGACAAGAUUGACAUGACUGAAACCCCAGGCUUAGCUGGGGCCCAUGUUGUGCUACAUCAGGUGAAAAGAAAGCCACUUCUUAGUGGAACCAGCUUCUGUUUUCCUGGGAACCUUAGUCAUAUUUGAAUUCACUGGCUUCGAGUCAAGCUCUAGGAGGGGGACGGAGGACCUGGGGUGCUUCAGUGUUAAGAGGUGGGCAGUGAUCCUGACUUUGAAAACUACCCAGUCAUUCAUGACCUUAAAACGCUGCCAUUGUGGUCCGAUGACAACUGAUUUGCACAAAAACAUGACAAACUUGUUUAACCAAAGCUUUUGGAGUGUGAUGAAGCCACCACCAACAUAAGCACUUGGCUAAGAGAAAUCAGUAUGGCUUCGGCUUAGGAGGGUCGGGAACCAGCGAGGCCCCGGAGGAAGACAGGAUCUGCAUCCAUUAAUUAAAUUUCCAGUUUGUCCUUGGAA
Molecule: non-coding RNA, 3086 nt
Organism: Ictidomys tridecemlineatus (thirteen-lined ground squirrel)
Lineage: Eukaryota; Metazoa; Chordata; Mammalia; Rodentia; Sciuridae
Source: RefSeq, a predicted model, not a curated record